AAACCCAACUUUGCAUAUCCCCUUAGCGGAGGAAAAGAAACCAACAGGGAUUGCCCCAGUAACGGCGAGUGAAGCGGCAUGAGCUCGGAUUUGAAAGCCUGCGGGCGUUGUAAGUGGGGGAUAUUGCUGAUCUAUUGCUGGAGUAGUGCGUUGGAACACGCCGCCUCAGAGGGUAAGAGUCCCGUACAAUGGUUAACAUCAGUGUGUCCUUUCGUCGAGUCGAGUUGUUUGGGAAUGCAGCUCUAAGCGGGUGGUAUAUUCCAUCUAAGGCUAAAUAUAGGCGGGAGACCGAUAGCAAACAAGUACCGUGAGGGAAAGAUGAAAAGAACUUUGAAAAGAGAGUGAAAAAGUACGUGAAAUUGUUGAAAGGGAAGGGUAUUUGAUCCGACGUGGUGAUCACCCAUCGUUCGGCCUUGUGCCGGGCGCUCUGGGUCUUCACCGGGGCGUGGUUAGAGAGGGGAGUGGGAUACGGGYUGGGGGAACGUGACCCUUCGGGGAGUUAUAGCCCCUGGUCAACUCCACCCCCUUUUCUAGGGACCGCCGUGUAGGACCACGCCAUAACGAGCAAAUACCACCCGUCUUGAAACAUGGACCAAGGAGACUAACGAUCAUGCGAGUGUUAGGGUGGAAAACCCCUGCGCGGAAUGAAAGUGAUUGAUGGGAGGCCUCGGCCGCACCAUCGACCGAUCCGGAUGUAUUCGGAAGGAUUUGAGUACGAGCAUGGCUGUUGGGACCCGAAAGAUGGUGAACUAUGCCCGAGCAGGAUGAAGCCAGAGGAAACUCUGGUGGAGGUCCGCCGCGGUUCUAACGUGCAAAUUGAUCGUCAAACUUGGGUAUAGGGGCGAAAGACUAAUCGAACCAUCUAGUAGCUGGUUCCUGCCGAAGUUUCCCUUAGGAUAGCAGAAGCUCACAACAGUUUUAUGGGGUAAAGCGAAUGAUUAGCGGUCUUGGCGGCGAAAUGCUGUCAGCCGAUUCUCAAACUUUAAAUAUGUAAGAAGCCCCCGUUGCUUGAUUGAACGCGGGCGUUGAAUGUUGAGCUUUUAGUGGGCCAUUUUUGGUAAGCAGAACUGGCGAUGCGGGAUGAACCGAACGUGAAGUUAAGGUGCCAGAAUGCACGCUCAUCAGACACCAGAAAAGGUGUUGGUCCAUCAAGACAGCCGGACGGUGGCCACAGAAGUCGGAACCCGCCAAGGAGUGUGUAACAACUCACCGGCCGAAUGAACCAGCCCUGAAAACGGAUGGCGCUCAAGCGUGCUACCUAUACUUUGCCGAGGGGGUUUGGACGCCCCCUCGAGUAGGCAGGCGUGGGGGUUGUGACGAAGCCUUGGGCGUGAGCCUGGGUCGAACGGCCUCUAGUGCAGAUCUUGGUGGUAGUAGCAAAUAUUCAAAUGGGAACUUUGAAGACUGAAGUGGGGAAAGGUUCCGCAUCAACAGCAGUUGGAUGCGGGUUAGUCGAUCCUAAGGCGCAGGUUAAUUCUGAAAAUUAGACACUUGUCUUUUGGCCGAAAGGGAACCCGGUCAAUAUUCCGGGACUUGGAUUUGGACAGACGGCAACGUAAACGAAUGCGGAGACGCCGGCUUCAGCUCUGGGGGGGAGUUUUCUUUUCUUGUUAACGGCCUGACACCCCGGAAUUGGAUUAUCCGGCGAGGGGGUCUUAUGGUUGGAAGAGCGUGGCCUUUUGUUAGCCAGGUCCGGUGCGCUGAAGACGGUCCGUGAAAAUCCGCAGGAGGGAAUUGUUUCAAGCCAAGUCGUACUAAUAACCGCAGCAGGUCCUCUAGGUUAGCAGCCUCUAGUUGAUAGAAUAAUGUAGGUAAGGGAAGUCGGCAAAACAGAUCCGUAACUUCGGGAAAAGGAUUGGCUCUAGGGGGUGAGGUUGUGGGGCGGGAGGAGACGAGGAUGGGGCGUGUGUUUUCUGGCUUCGGCUGGGAGACGCGUGCCCCGCUCUCCGACCCUCCCGCUAGCGCUCCGGCGCGUCUGCUUCCAUUUAACACCCGCCCUAGAACUGGUACGGACAAGGGGAAUCUGACUGUCUAAUUAAAGCAUAGCAUUGCGAAGGUCGGAAAACGAUGUUGACGCAAUGUGAUUUCUGCCCAGUGCUCUGAAUGUCAAAGUGAAGAAAUUCAAACAAGCGCGGGUA
Molecule: ribosomal RNA, 2138 nt
Filed under: Brettanomyces acidodurans
Lineage: Eukaryota; Fungi; Ascomycota; Pichiomycetes; Pichiales; Pichiaceae
Description: eukaryotic LSU rRNA
Rfam family: Eukaryotic large subunit ribosomal RNA
Source: RNAcentral